GCGGAGUGGAAGGCGGCAGGCGGAAGGGAGGGGGCCGGUGCGAGUGAGGAGAAGCUGGGCGUCCGCCGCGACUUCUCAUUGGCUCUCUGCCCCGCAGCCUACAAUGAGCCCGCCGAUUGGCUGCAGCUGGGUCCGCGCCGCCUUGUGAGGAUCAUCAUAUCGCCGGCCAAUGAGACGCUUGGUAGCAUAAAAUGUAUUGUUUGGGUUGGUGACAGCCUGUCGCUUGGCCGGCAUUCCAACAAGUCGCUCACCAUCUGCUGUAAAGGCCACAACUGAAGGGGUGGUUCUGGCACCUUCGGCAUUCUCCAGCACCUAAACUCCCAAAAUGUGAUAGAGACAUGAAUCCCUGGCCUGAACUGGGGAAGUCACUUUCAGGAUUAAAGGCAGCCAACAGAACAUCAGCACCCAGAGCCCUGGAGAACAGCAUCUGUGUUUGAGUGGUAAAGUGUCAACAGGCCGCUUAAGGAGGAGUGGGUAUAGGGAGAGAGAGGCUGCAUUUCUAAAAUAUCUCUGAGAACAAGCUGCUUUUCAGAAUUCAAAUCAACAUGUGAUCUUCUUCACUUUAGGGGUAUAUGCAGGAAGCCAUUAGACACAACCAGCAAAGGGCCAUACGGCAGAUAACGUGUGACUUCUUCCCUUUCGUGUACCACAGAAGUCCAUUGGUGGUGAAUAUGUGAACAGCUA
Molecule: long non-coding RNA, 684 nt
Filed under: Homo sapiens (human)
Lineage: Eukaryota; Metazoa; Chordata; Mammalia; Primates; Hominidae
Description: HSALNT0329758
Source: RNAcentral